Arvicola amphibius (Eurasian water vole) is the source of this 916-nucleotide long non-coding RNA. RefSeq lists it as uncharacterized. The record is from RefSeq and is a predicted model, not a curated record. Lineage: Eukaryota; Metazoa; Chordata; Mammalia; Rodentia; Cricetidae. The transcript is spliced from 2 exons.
GUCAAGAUAGACCCUUCCUGAUGCUGCUUUCUCUCAAGUAUUUGGUCACAGCAAUGUAACCAAUACACAGAAAAAUAAUAUAUCUCCUCACCACCUGCAGUACAAUCCAGCAGUCUAGGCCCCUACUGUGGCUCUCUGACCUCUCCCUGGUGCCCCUUUGGUCCCUCCAGGAUGAGCACCUGCCUCAGCCUCCCCACCCACGGGCAGCUCUGUCAAGACCCCAGGCAGACCACUACUGGGAGGACCCAGAGACGUGUCCAGAACAUUCCACCAUGUGGAGGCCGGGCUCGUACCUCUUCCAGCCUCUUCAGCUCCACAUCAUUCUGACCCUGGAAAUGGAUGCUGACAGCCACCGUCUCGAUCCAGGCAUUGUCUGUGUUCCUUGGGUCAUCCACAUACCCUUUGUACACCUGGGAGGCCAAUACAGAGAUGGCUGUCCUAGGUGUUUUGUAAUGAUGGAAAGCUGCCGGGCCCAGCACCUCCUCCACCUUGGAUGGGCCUCCCCCACCCCCACUUCAGCUGUGUGGCUCAGUGAGAAACACUCGCUUCAAACACUACUGUGGAGAAGAAAAGAGGCUAACGCUUUCUUAUGAUCUGCGCUUGUCCCCACCAAAGCUCACGUCAGAUCCACCCUAUCGUUAGAUGCAUGGGGCACUGGGGCAGGUGAGGCCUUCAGAAAGUGAUUGCUCUCCCAGACGGCCCUAGCUAUGUGACAUCCUGCACCGCCUCCAUCAGCGAGGAGGCAUCCUUGGAUGCAAGCCCUUGACACUGGGCCAGAGCCAUGAGCCAAAAAAUCAACCUUUCUUUUUCAUAACCUACUUAGUCUCCGGUAUUCUAUUAGGGGCAACAUAAAACAGACGUAGCCAAUGAGUUCACAGACGGAAACUAUGUCCAGGGAAAUAUAAUUUAAAAAGCA